This 73-nucleotide transfer RNA is filed under the name Salmo salar (Atlantic salmon). It matches the Rfam family "tRNA". Rfam says of the family: Transfer RNA (tRNA) molecules are approximately 80 nucleotides in length. Their secondary structure includes four short double-helical elements and three loops (D, anti-codon, and T loops). Further hydrogen bonds mediate the characteristic L-shaped molecular structure. tRNAs have two regions of fundamental functional importance: the anti-codon, which is responsible for specific mRNA codon recognition, and the 3' end, to which the tRNAs corresponding amino acid is attached (by aminoacyl-tRNA synthetases). tRNAs cope with the degeneracy of the genetic code in two manners: having more than one tRNA (with a specific anti-codon) for a particular amino acid; and 'wobble' base-pairing, i.e. permitting non-standard base-pairing at the 3rd anti-codon position. The record is from Rfam by way of RNAcentral. Lineage: Eukaryota; Metazoa; Chordata; Actinopteri; Salmoniformes; Salmonidae.
UUUCCUGUGGCUCAGUUGGUAGAGCAUGGUGUGUGCAACGCCAGGGUUGUGGGUUCGAUUCCCACGGGGGGAC